AUCGGACCCGGUGGAAAUCCGGGUGGCGCUUCCGGCCGCCAAUCCGCCGGACCAAC
This is a non-coding RNA of 56 nucleotides. It matches the Rfam family "sul1 RNA".